AAUCACUAAAGGCAAACCAUCUGAAAAGAUGUGACGCAAAGUUAGAAGUCUAAAGUACUGAAUAGUGCUAUGAUAGUUCGACUGCCAAA
RNAcentral lists this non-coding RNA (89 nucleotides) under Desulfosporosinus sp. Its description in RNAcentral is "c-di-GMP sequence". It matches the Rfam family "c-di-GMP-I riboswitch aptamer". From Rfam's summary of the family: GEMM was predicted in a large-scale screen for bacterial structured RNA regulatory elements. Genes associated with GEMM are involved in a diverse array of functions, including chemotaxis regulation, signal transduction, secretion and chitin. Lineage: Bacteria; Bacillati; Bacillota; Clostridia; Eubacteriales; Desulfitobacteriaceae. The record is from RNAcentral.